This 1436-nucleotide ribosomal RNA is filed under the name metagenome. Its description in RNAcentral is "bacterial LSU rRNA". It matches the Rfam family "Bacterial large subunit ribosomal RNA", at positions 1500 to 2925 of the family's 2925-position model. The record is from RNAcentral.
AUAUAUCUUGGUUCAAGCCUGUAGUCGUGCCUGGUAGGCAAAUCCGCCGGGCUUAGAUGAGGGGUGAUAACGAGGCGGCUUGCCGCCGAAGUGAGUGAUACCCUGCUUCCAGGAAAAGCCACUAAGCUUCAGCUAUAGACGACCGUACCGCAAACCGACACUGGUGCGCGAGAUGAGUAUUCUAAGGCGCUUGAGAGAACUCUGGAGAAGGAACUCGGCAGAUUGACACCGUAACUUCGGAAGAAGGUGUGCCUUUAGUAGGUGAACCAUUUACUUGGCGAGCCCAAUGAGGUUGCAAGAAAUCGGUGGCUGCGACUGUUUAUUAAAAACACAGCACUCUGCAAAGACGAAAGUCGACGUAUAGGGUGUGACGCCUGCCCGGUGCUGGAAGAUUAAAUGAUGGGGUGCAAGCUCUUGAUUGAAGUCCCAGUAAACGGCGGCCGUAACAAUAACGGUCCUAAGGUAGCGAAAUUCCUUGUCGGGUAAGUUCCGACCUGCACGAAUGGCGUAACGAUGGCCACUCUGUCUCCUCCAGAGACUCAGCGAAGUUGAAAUGUUUGUGAUGAUGCAAUCUCCCCGCGGAAAGACGGAAAGACCCCAUGAACCUUUACUGUAGCUUUACAUUGGACUUUGAACAGAUCUGUGUAGGAUAGGUGGGAGGCUUUGAAGCGGUGCCGCUAGGUGUCGUGGAGCCAACCCUGAAAUACCACCCUGGUGUGUUUGAGGUUCUAACCUUGACCCGUUAUCCGGGUUGGGGACAGUGUAUGGUGGGCAGUUUGACUGGGGCGGUCUCCUCCUAAAGCGUAACGGAGGAGUUCGAAGGUACGCUAGGCACGGUCGGAAAUCGUGCUGAUAGUGCAUAGGCAUAAGCGUGCUUGACUGCGAGACUGACAAGUCGAGCAGGUACGAAAGUAGGACUAAGUGAUCCGGUGGUUCUGUAUGGAAGGGCCAUCGCUCAACGGAUAAAAGGUACUCUGGGGAUAACAGGCUGAUACCGCCCAAGAGUUCAUAUCGACGGCGGUGUUUGGCACCUCGAUGUCGGCUCAUCUCAUCCUGGGGCUGUAGCCGGUCCCAAGGGUAUGGCUGUUCGCCAUUUAAAGAGGUACGUGAGCUGGGUUUAAAACGUCGUGAGACAGUUUGGUCCCUAUCUUCCGUGGGCGCUGCAAGAUUGAGAGAGCCUGCUCCUAGUACGAGAGGACCGGAGUGGACGCACCUCUGGUGUAUCGGUUGUCACGCCAGUGGCAUUGCCGAGUAGCUAAGUGCGGAAGAGAUAACCGCUGAAAGCAUCUAAGCGGGAAACUCGUCUCAAGAUGAGUCUUGCCGGGGCCUUGAGCCCCCUGAAGAGUCGUUCGAGACCAGGACGUUGAUAGGCCGGGUGUGGAAGCGCAGUAAUGCGUUGAGCUAACCGGUACUAAUUGCUCGUGCGGCUUGACCCC